CAGCAGCCGCGGGAAUACGAAGGGGGCUAGCGUUGUUCGGAUUUACUGGGCGUAAAGGGCGCGUAGGCGGACUGAUAAGUCAGGGGUGAAAUCCCAAGGCUCAACCUUGGAACUGCCUUUGAUACUGUUUGUCUUGAGUUCGAGAGAGGUAAGUGGAACUGCGAGUGUAGAGGUGAAAUUCGUAGAUAUUCGCAAGAACACCAGUGGCGAAGGCGGCUUACUGGCUCGAAACUGACGCUGAGGCGCGAAAGCGUGGGGAGCAAACAGGAUUAGAUACCCGCGUAGUCCCUGUCUCUUAUAA
Molecule: ribosomal RNA, 301 nt
Filed under: uncultured bacterium
Lineage: Bacteria
Description: partial 16S ribosomal RNA
Rfam family: Bacterial small subunit ribosomal RNA
Source: RNAcentral